GACGAACGCUGGCGGCGUGCUUAACACAUGCAAGUCGUACGGUAAGGCCCUUUCGGGGGUACACGAGUGGCGAACGGGUGAGUAACACGUGAGUAACCUGCCCACAACUUUGGGAUAACGCUAGGAAACUGGUGCUAAUACUGGAUAUGUGCUCCUGCUGCAUGGUGGGGGUUGGAAAGCUCCGGCGGUUGUGGAUGGACUCGCGGCCUAUCAGCUUGUUGGUGGGGUAGUGGCCUACCAAGGCGGCGACGGGUAGCCGGCCUGAGGGGGUGACCGGCCACAUUGGGACUGAGAUACGGCCCAGACUCCUACGGGAGGCAGCAGGGGGGAAUAUUGCACAAUGGGCGCAAGCCUGAUGCAGCAACGCCGCGUGCGGGAUAACGGCCUUCGGGUUGUAAACCGCUUUCAGCAGGGACGAAGCUUUUUGUGACGGUACCUGCAGAAGAAGCACCGGCUAACUACGUG
Molecule: ribosomal RNA, 465 nt
Filed under: uncultured bacterium
Lineage: Bacteria
Description: partial 16S ribosomal RNA
Rfam family: Bacterial small subunit ribosomal RNA
Source: RNAcentral